This 449-nucleotide ribosomal RNA is filed under the name uncultured prokaryote. Its description in RNAcentral is "bacterial SSU rRNA". It matches the Rfam family "Bacterial small subunit ribosomal RNA", at positions 355 to 796 of the family's 1533-position model. The record is from RNAcentral.
CUAAGAAUCUUCCGCAAUGGACGAAAGUCUGACGGAGCGACGCCGCGUGGGCGAAGAAGGCCGUGAGGUUGUAAAGCCCUUUUCUACUUGAGGAAUAAGCGUAGGAGGGAAUGCCUGCGUGAUGACGGUAGGGUAGGAAUAAGCCCCGGCUAAUUACGUGCCAGCAGCCGCGGUAACACGUAUGGGGCGAGCGUUGUUCGGAAUUAUAGGGCGUAAAGGGCGCGUAGGCGGAUAUACAAGUCUGGUGUGAAAGACCGCAGCUCAACUGCGGGCACGCGCUGGAAACUGUGUGUCUUGAAUCCUUGAGGGGGAACUGGAAUUCCUGGUGUAGGGGUGAAAUCUGUAGAUAUCAGGAAGAACACCGGUGGCGAAGGCGAGUUCCUGGCAAGUGAUUGACGCUGAGGCGCGAAAGCGUGGGGAGCGAACAGGAUUAGAUACCCCCGUAGUCC